AGAUUCAAUUGUGCUAUAAACAAAUUAAAUUUAUUUGUUUUUUCUUUAGAGAGAAAUGUAGCAUGCUAUCCGCUUUAUUUAUUUUAUUUAGAAAUAAACUUAGCUGGAAAUAUGAAUCAACUAGUAUUCAAACUUGGGUCUCGGGUACCAACCAUUAAGUUUUUUUGCCACUUGCGCUCGGGACGGUCGGUAAAUUAGAUUUAUUAAUAUUAUUGAUAUAUGGCAGUGAUGUGAUAUUUUAAUUAUUAUUAUAUUAGCAUCUCGUCACCAUUUAGUUAAGUAAAUUAUAUU
This 291-nucleotide long non-coding RNA is filed under the name Ananas comosus (pineapple). Its description in RNAcentral is "long non-coding RNA (ACOM_LNC039279)". The record is from RNAcentral. Lineage: Eukaryota; Viridiplantae; Streptophyta; Magnoliopsida; Poales; Bromeliaceae.